Molecule: ribosomal RNA, 396 nt
Filed under: uncultured bacterium
Lineage: Bacteria
Description: partial 16S ribosomal RNA
Rfam family: Bacterial small subunit ribosomal RNA
Source: RNAcentral
CCUACGGGUGGCUGCAGUGAGGAAUAUUGGUCAAUGGACGCAAGUCUGAACCAGCCAAGCCGCGUGAAGGACGACGGCUCUAUGAGUUGUAAACUUCUUUUGUACGAGAGUAAACUCAGCCACGUGUUGCUGUCUGAAAGUACCGUACGAAUAAGGAUCGGCUAACUCCGUGCCAGCAGCCGCGGUAAUACGGAGGAUCCGAGCGUUAUCCGGUUUUAUUGGGUUUAAAGGGUGCGUAGGGGGAUGGUUAAGUUAGAGGUAAAAUCCCGGGGCUCAACCCCGUACUGCCGUUGAAACUGGUUGUCUAGAGAGGGCGAGAGGUAUGCGGAAUGCGUGGUGUAGCGGUGAAAUGCUUAGAUAUCAUGCAGAACGCCGAUUGCGAAGGCAGCAUACCGG